Molecule: ribosomal RNA, 28 nt
Filed under: Peltigera shennongjiana
Lineage: Eukaryota; Fungi; Ascomycota; Lecanoromycetes; Peltigerales; Peltigeraceae
Description: Peltigera sp. SG-2015a partial 18S small subunit ribosomal RNA
Source: RNAcentral
UUCCGUAGUGACCUGCGGAGGAUCAUUA